CCAAAGCAAUGACUUAAAGAGGAACGGACUCGUUAGAAAAGUAUAAGACAGUAUUACGAACUCGUUAGAAAAAUAUAAGACAGUGUAAACGUAGAUACUUCAGGGUGGUAACGUCGUUGAGCUAAGGUCGUCUCGAGAGACUUCGAGGAAUGAAAUGAACGAAGAGGAAGGGUCCCAAACUCAACCCUUUCCUAAGAACUCACCAACCCGUUACCACCACCACCACCACCACCACCACCACCACCACCACCACCACCACCACCACCACCACCAUAAUCAACACCAUCACUAUCAACCAAAGAGAGGACAUUUUUGUAGUAGUAUCAGUAUAAGUAAUAGUAGAAAUAAUAAUCGUGCGAUUUAUUACGAUUCAGGUGAGAGAGAGAGAAAGAGGGACAAAGAGAGAGAGAGAGAGAGAGAUUCUUUUUUUUUUUUCUUUUUUUUUCCCUUUCUUUUAUUUCUCUUUUCCUCUUUCUUUUUUCUGUUUCUUCCCCUUUUAUAUGGCGCACAUGCUAAUGCGAUGUUGGCCCCUUCUUUCUUCGAGGUUCGACGCCUCGCCACCCAUCAAAAGGGGAAUGAUGAUAUGUCCUGGUGUGCGUUAAAAAGCUCUCCUAAGGAGUCAAGAUGCUGUGAAUGGACCCCCGUUACGGAACAGAAAGCGGACGGCUAUUUCAUCGGAGUAAAAUGUCCUCGCGAAAAGUCUGCAUAAAUUUUGCGAAGAGAGUUGGAAUUAGUCAAGAGGAUAAAACAUCGGUAGAAAUUAGUCCGAUUAGAUGGGAAAGAUGAUAUUAAUUCCGUUCCAGUUUCUUAUUCCUAAGGGACGUUUCUUAUUCCUAAGGGCUUAAGACUGAACGAACGAGCUACGAAACGACAGGAUAAAUUCGGAGGAUUUCAAGUUUCAUAUCGUAUGUACGUCGGCCGUUAGAUCGAACGAUAUUAAGCCCACUGAGACAUUAUCGAAGAAGCAAACUAUAGUUGACUAAGAGAUUCGAUGAUAUCGAAGUUUGACGUUGGUCUGCUCGAUAGGGAUUACAACAUUGUUCAUUAUCUAUUUUCAUUAAUAAUAGCAAUUAUUA
Vespa velutina is the source of this 1076-nucleotide long non-coding RNA. RefSeq lists it as uncharacterized. The transcript has 4 exons. The record is from RefSeq and is a predicted model, not a curated record. Lineage: Eukaryota; Metazoa; Arthropoda; Insecta; Hymenoptera; Vespidae.